RNAcentral lists this ribosomal RNA (492 nucleotides) under uncultured bacterium. RNAcentral describes it as "partial 16S ribosomal RNA". It matches the Rfam family "Bacterial small subunit ribosomal RNA", at positions 29 to 507 of the family's 1533-position model. The record is from RNAcentral.
AACGAACGCUGGCGGCAGGCUUAACACAUGCAAGUCGAACGCCCCGCAAGUAGAACGUCGGUCUUAUGGGUAACGCGUGGGGGCCUGCCGUUUAAUUCAUCGCAACUCCCUUUAACGGGGGCGAAAACCUGGGAAACCCUACCCUAAUACCGUUUAUGACCUACGGAUCAACGCACGUCAUAUUCGGUCCUUGCGCAGUUGACUGCGCAGAAGUCGGACUAGCUAUAUCGCGGGGUAAAGGCUCACCAAGGCGACUAUCCGUAGCUGGUCUGACAGAAUGAUCAGCCACACUGGAACUGAGACACGGUCCAGACUCCGACGGGAGGCAGCAGUGGGGAAUAUCGGACAAUGGGCGCAAGCCUGAUCCAGCCAUAUCGCGUGGGUGAAGAAGGCCUUCUGGUUGUAAAGCCCUGUUGUUGUGAAAGUAAAGCAGCAGGUUAAUACCCCGCUGUUCUGACGGUACCCAAAGAAUAAGCACCGGCUAACUUCGUG